GACUACUGGGGUAUCUAAUCCUGUUUGCUACCCACGCUCUCGCGUCUCAGCGUCAGUAUAGGGCCAGAAAGUCGCCUUCGCCACCGGUGUUCCUCCUGAUAUCUACGAAUUUCACCUCUACACCAGGAAUUCCACUUUCCUCUCCCUUACUCAAGCUGAACAGUUUCAAAUGCACUUCCUGGGUUAAGCCCAGGGCUUUCACAUCUGACUUAUCCAGCCGCCUACACGCUCUUUACGCCCAAUGAUUCCGAACAACGCUAGCACCCCCCGUGGUACCGCGGCUGCCGGUGCUUCCUUUAGCGGUACCGUCAAGCAUAAUGGAUAUUAGCCACUAUGCAUUUCUUCCCGCUCGACAGAGCUUUACGGUCCGAAAACCUUCCUCACUCACGCGGCGUUGCUGCGUCAGGGUUGCCCCCAUUGCGCAAUAUUCCUCACUGCAGCCUCCCGUAGG
Molecule: ribosomal RNA, 451 nt
Filed under: uncultured Smithella sp.
Lineage: Bacteria; Pseudomonadati; Thermodesulfobacteriota; Syntrophia; Syntrophales; Smithellaceae
Description: partial 16S ribosomal RNA
Source: RNAcentral